Molecule: transfer RNA, 76 nt
Filed under: Shewanella piezotolerans WP3
Lineage: Bacteria; Pseudomonadati; Pseudomonadota; Gammaproteobacteria; Alteromonadales; Shewanellaceae
Description: tRNA-Ala
Source: RNAcentral
ACACUCUCAUUUUGUUGACCAUUUAGUCAUGCAGCGACAAAUGAGUGAAUUAAUUGCUCAAGCUUGAGAAUGAUCC